GCUGUGUAGACCCUUAUGAGCUUGUCAUGUGGUUAAAAUCAAGAUUCACUUGCACGUUCACUCACACAUGCUGCUUCCACUCCGAAAGUACGAAUCCACAUAUAUCCACUCAUUUCCAUCUCCAGAACCACCCAAAAAUAUUCUACUCCUAUUCUAGGAGAGAAUAGCCAAAAACAUUCUCCUAUUUCUGUUUUUCCCUGUAAAAUAAAUGCUCAAGUUAUCUUGGUUACUACCACUUGCUAUAUUAUUUCAGGAGAUGAGUGCUCUAAAAAAAGUAUACGAGGAAAUAAAAAGGGGCAAGUGCCCGGAACCUCGAAAGAAAAAGUGAGACGAGAGGUAAAAAUGGACAAGUGUCCGACAGUAGAAUUAGGGGUACAAGAUACCCACCUGAGAAAAAGAAAAUGUAGAGCAUCUCAUUCUCCUCAAAAAGUUUCAAAGAGCAAGAAAGGUAUGUAUCCCCUCAAAAGAGCAACAAGUAGAAUUAGACUUUCACCAUUGUUAUCACCAUCAUCACCAUACACCAUUCAUUCGCCACACAUGCACAUCUUGAUUUUACUUAUUGACAUGUUUCUCUGGAUCCAUAGUUUGACUAUGCAAUAAAUGUCUUGUAAGUAUGUAUACUUUAUCUCCCACCUAUGAGCUCCAGAUAUCAAAAGCCUUAUUAAAGUAGGAUGAGAGAGAAGGCAAUGUUACUAUGCCUUAUACCACAAAUACUACAUACUUUGAGAGAAGGCAUAUACCAUCACUGCCUUGGUAAGGAUCCAGAAAUACCACAAAAGAGAGAUCUGAGAGAGUCAUACAAGGAAUCUCCGAGUUUUAUUUAAAAAUCUGCAAAAACUCCAGAACUAUGGCUUAUUAAGAAUAAGAGACAUGACGCUUGACUAGACCGUUCUAACUUUUAACUGCUCAAGACAAAUGACAGUUACAAGUCCCAUGGUGAAAGGUAAAAUGAGUAAGUUUUAAGUCUUGAUGGUUUACUCUAACUCAGAGAUGAGACCUUAUUUGAAAGCAUGUGUACCGUCAACUUUUAAAGGCAUUCCAACAACUUCUGAUCCAUCACUGAGAUUAUCCUUGCUUAGGGACGAGCAAGAGGUAAGCUUGGGGGAGUUUGUUGACGGUCCUUAAGUAUCAAAUUUAAUCAACAAAUAAAUAGAGAAAAGGAUCCAAAUGCAACAGACACCCAGACUUAGGGUUUUAUCUGAUAGAAUCUCACGAGUUUUGGUGUUUGUCUAUUUCUGCAGGGGGAUAUCAGGAAUUAUGAAGAAAGGCCCACACGUCGGGUUUACAUAGAGAUAUUAAUGUGCCGCGCAAUUAUCCAACAUCUAGAAAAGUCCAGAAGCCACAGGAACGAACAGGAGACCGAACGGGCCCGGGGGCAGGGCGCCCGCCCUCCCCCCUUGGACGCUCGCCCUGGUCUGAGGACCAAUCACCUUCCACCUCGUGGAUCAUGCUCCACCGACCUAAAGGAUCAAGGAAAACCGUGCGAUUAAUGUCAGUUUGAUCCGACGCCCCACAUUAAUUUGGAAGGACUAUAUAAGCAGACCCCUUGGUCCCUAGAGGAGAGGAGCCCUAAACCCUAAUUCAUUUAUCCAUCUUAGGAGAAGAAGCCCCUGAUCAAGCCCUAGAGCCACCACAUCAAUGAUCUCUAGUUUAGCAUAGCUACAUAGGAUUUGAACUAGAUGGAUGUUGACGGUCCUUAAGUACCAAAUAUAAUCAUCAAAUAAAUAAAGAAAAGGAUCCAAAUGCAAUCAACACCUAGACUUAGGGUUUUAUCUGACAGGAUUCCACGAGUUUUGGUGUUUGUCUAUUUCUGCAGGGAGUUAUCAAGAAAUAAGGAAGAAAGGCCCACAUGUCGGGUUUACAUAGAGAUAUUAACGUGCCGCGCAAUUUUCUAUCAUCUAAAAGAGUCCAGAAACCACGGAAACGAACGGGACGCCGAACGGGCCCGGGGGCAGGGCGCCCGCCUAGGUUUUUCCACCAAUCACAGAAUGAAGUACACCAUUACAAAGAUCUCGUCGAGCUGAUCGAAAUGCAUAUAUUAUUUGCUAUAUUUGGAGUUCGGAAUCAAGAGAUAUUAAUAAAAGAAGGACUCCACAUAAAAGAGCUGCGGGAUUAAUUGGGCCCAAAUCAGAUUUUGAUCCAUGAAGGCCUAUCUGUAUUUUAAUGAGAUAUGGUGGAAAGUUUAGUACCACAUCGCCUGCUGAACCAAAAAUGCAUAGAGGAGGAGGACUAUAUAAGGAGACCCCCCUGGCCCCUGGAGAAGACAAGAAGUUAUCAUAGAGAUUGAGGGUGCCCUCGAAGGAAAACCUCUUCUCUAAAUAAUAUUUCUUUUUAGGCUUAGCAACCAAUGUAAGUAGAAAUAGAUCUUCUAGUUUCUACUAGAUUGAGAGAGAUAGAGUGGAGGUGUAGAUCGGAGGAAGGCCGGCCUGUCGGUGUCUACUCCGAGUUGUACCUACGGGAUCAAGUCUCCUAACCCGAGGCUUGCUUCUAAGAUUCUUCAGUAAUUCGACUUCUAAUUCUAGUAAGUUCUUGUUUUAUUGUUCUUUGGUUUAUGAGUUUACUUUAAUCCUCUUCCGGUUCAGUAUUAGAGUAAUCACUAGCUAGCGUAAACAUGGUGUUUAGGCUAGGGUACUCAUAGAUAUCCCCUGACUAGCUGGACCGUGGUAGUAGCGAGGAAUGUGACAUUUCCGAGUUACCUUUGUAUCCCAUAUCUUGUUAGCAGGACGGGUAGGUUUAUAGGUGCGGGUCGAACAUCCUUUGUGUUGUCUAGAUUCCGUGAGCCUCCCCAAUAGAACAGUAGAUCAUCCUUACCAAGGUUAGAACGAGACUACGGUUGCAGUCUUCUCUAUACAUCACUCACAUCGAGAAACAUUCUUUGUAGCCUAAAGGGGUAAUAGCAAUAGAUUUGGUUAGUCAGAUGCACCCUUUCUCCCAGUGGUAAAAAUAUAAAUACGAUAACUCUGGAUAACCUCCCGGGUGAAAUGCUCACCGAUAUCCGUGCGCUUGCGGAUCAUUUCCUUAUUGCGUGACCAAAUAUCAACAAGCAUUUCUUGCGCCGUUGCCGGGGAGAAAGACGGUUUGCUGAGAUAACUUUGAAUCUUGCUAUUAUCUUGUAUUAUACUUUUAUACUUUUAUUCUUUUAUCUUUUUACUUUUAUCUUUAUGGAUAACUUAAAUUCCAUACAUAUUAUUGAAUUCUUUGCACCUUCGGAGACCAGCCAUAGACCAUGGGAGUCAACAAGUCCUGCCCCUAAUUAUGAUCUGUGCCCGGAGUUGAUUGCAAUAGGUCAAAACCAACCCUUCUCUAUAGCCGAGGUCCUAUCUUUUAAUCAAGAAGAUAAUGCACUUUUAGCUACACCUAGGGAAUCUGUUAAUCUUUCUAUAAAUUCUGGUUUAGACCUAGCCCAACAAGACCAUGUUUUUCUUGAUAUUUUUACAUUGGUCUUAAUCAUAUACCCUUUGGUAGAGUCUUUCUUUCUUUAUCUAUUAGUAAAGGAAGGUAUGUCUUCAUUUGUGGAUAUCCUUCUUGCACUAGUCUUCAAAGAAAAAUCUUAGAGAUAGAGAAGGAAUCAUCUCCCAAACGAGGAAAGGAAGUUUCAUUAGCCGAUUUCCAAACAUUUCAAUCCCAUAAUUCGGCUAUCCAACCCAACCUUGAGCUUAAUAAUUUCUACUAUGCUCUUUCUCUUGAACCUCCCGAUAAUCCUAUGAAUCUCUCUAGACAUCCCAUCCAUAAGAAGAAGGAUCGAGAAGAGCAACAUCGAUGGCUAGAGGGCAUUAAAAAUCCAUGUGCUAUCACCAUUGAAUGGAUAGAUAAAACAAACUUGAGAGACAAUCCUAGAGGAAUUUUAAGCAUUCAUGAAGAAUCAUCCUUGGAGUUUGAGAAUGAGAGAAACAACAGUGAGCAUGGAAGUUAUUUGAUAAAUACCUCACCCAGUCCUUGCUCAUAUAAAACAUCUCUCCAAUCAAUUUGUCUCUCCAUCCUUACCACAUUUGAGAUCUCCAACCCCUUCUUCCUUUCUAUUUAUAAAAACUUUAAAAGGGCGGUUGUCGAUGCAUAUGUCUAUAAUAAAUAUUGCAGAUCUCGUUGAGUUGAUCUUGAUAUAGGUAGGUGUUGGAGGGGAAACCACUUCGCCGACAUAAAUUGAUGGUUUCCCAAGGACAAGCUUAGUGUUCUAAAACAAGCAUUUAUCAGAUCAUAACAUGAACUUCUAAUUAUUUGCAACAUUGCCUUGUGUAUUGAGCAUAUUGAGAUAAUUGUAAAAAUAUUCCUUCGGGUAUUCUUGCCACUAACCUUUCUAGGGUUAGAGCAAGAAGAUCGGAUGAAUGACAAGUACAAGGUAUGUCCAACCAACCAUCACACAACAUUGAAUUAAAUUCAUCCAAACUUAAAUUUUGCAAAAUUCAAGCUUGGGGGAGUACUUUACAUCUUUUGCCAUGUUGCUACGUUGGUUGUCCUUACCUUUGAGACAUGCUCAAUUUGUUAAAUACUAAUUACACUACUUCAUCUCCACUUAAGUAGAUCUCUAUAAAUGCUCUCAUGCUACCUUUAUUUGCUUUAGUAUAUGUCUAGGUUUGGAGUAGUUUCAUUUAUCUCUUAAAUCAAGCAUGGUGCUUAGUUCAGGAAAUGAUGAUCUUACUUCCGAAGGAUUUUUAAAUUAAGCAUGGUGCUUAGGUUAAAAUGCCCUCCUAAAUCAAAUUAGACAUGGUGUCUAGGUUGAUUUUUGAGCCGAUAGUAUGCUAUAGUAGAUAUUGGAUAUUUUGUUGGACUAACCCCUCCAGGAAUACUUUCAAUAUCAAUUUGGAAAGUCCUGAGAUAAACUCACAUCAGAGAUGAAGAGAGAGACACAUGAAAUGUAACAAUUUGCACAAGAAGGACAUAGCUCAUAAAGAAAUGAUCCAUGGAAGGAGACAAAGUACAUAAACAAGAUACACAGCCGCUAAGAAAGGAAAACUUCCACAAGGUGAUACUGUACCAUCACUCUUCAAGUAUGGUAACAUCUUAAGGUACUUGACUAUCACUUUUAUAUGCUUCUCCUUGGUUCCGGCGUUCAUAUGAAUAAAAGAGACAAACAUGUAUGAUUUAUAACUCCAAAUUAACCAACCCAACUGAUUCAACAUGUUUAGUCCUUCCACCUUUGUGAUCCCACACUCCUAAUCAUAUGAGCUAAAAUGUUGCACAUUCAAUCUAUGGGAAGAUAUAAAGGAAAAGACAUAUACAUAGAUAGAUUAUCUUUCCAUAAGGUUGAGCGAUCUGAUCUGACAAAUGUUUUAAAUGCUACACUCAUGAUCUUAUUAUCCAUCAAAUUUGUCUUGCUCACUAUGCUUAAUGUUAGAGAAGAACAAAUACACUUUUGGUUAUGUUGGUGUUUUCCACAAACAGGAAAACUUUCAAUAUCAACCUGGGAAGUCCUGAGAUACAAACUCACAUUGGGGAUAAAGGAGACACAUGAAGUUUAACAAUUUGCACAAGAAGGACAUAACUCAUUCAUCAUAAAGAGAUGAUCCAUGGAGGGUGCCACAAACACGAUGCACAACCGCUACGAAUGGGAAGCUUCCACAAGGUGAGAUGGUACCAUCACUCUUCAAUUAAGGUAACAUCUUAAGGUACUUGACUAUCACUUUUAUAAGUUUCUCCUUGGUUCUGGCGUUCACAUAAAAUAAAGAGACAAACAUGUAUGAUUUAUAACUCCAAAUUAACCAACUCAAUUAAUUCAACAUGUUUAGUCCUUUAAUCUUUGUUCUUACGUGAUCCCACACUCCUAAUCAUAUAAGCUAAUAUGUUGCAAAUUCAAUCUUUGGAAGAUAUAAGCAAAACAUAAAUAUAGAUAGAUUAUCUUUCCAUUAGGUCAAGCAAUCUGAUCUGACAAAUGUUUCAAAUACUACAUUCACGAUCCAUCAACUUUGUCUUGCUCACUAUGCUUAAGGAUUAGAGAAGAACAAAUACACUUUUGGUUCUGUUGGUGUUUUCCACCAACAGGGCCCAUGCACUUGAUCUCUGCCUUGUCUCUAUGAACAGGUACACUUCAAGCAAAACAUGGAGGAGUUUUACAACUCCCAGACUCCACCAAGUGAAGGACCUGGAUCUAUGAGCACAAACACACUGAGCAGGGUAUUGCCAACACCGCACUUCGAACUACUGUGCAAUCGAAGAACGUGGGUGACUCCAUUUCAAGAGGUGCAAAUGUCAAGGUCCACACCUAAUCAAAUAAUGCAACUAAAGGAUGAAGAGAGUGAGAAGUCUUGACCAGAAUACUUAAAACAUUGGAUCCUUGUCGGAGGAGGUCAAGAUCAUCGACUCAAGUCACCUUUCUUGAUCAAGAAGGACGACCCUGGUGUUCCAAGCAUUGAGUGCACAAUCAACAGAUACUCUUUUUAGAAGACACUCUACGACACCGGAUCUGACGACAACAUAAUGGCCGCAGUCACUUAUCAGCUCCUGCAUGGAACCAUGCCCCUACAACCAAUAUAUAUUCAGCUCCAGAUGAUUUUCAGAACAUUGACAUGGGAGAAGACGAGUACGAUCCACCCAUCAUCCUUGGAAGACCAUUCCUCAACACUAUCAAAGUUAUCAUCUACAUUGGAACCGGAGAAGUCCACAUGCACUUCCCCUCUGAGAAGGUACGCCGCUAUUUUACUGACCCUAACUAUUUAGUUGAAGACUCUAAGCAGGUUAGGACAAGAAGAAGACAACCCAACCGCAACCAGAGGAGGCAAAUCAUCAAGGACAGAUGGGUAGACUACGAAGGAGAAGUGAUAAGGUCUGAAGACAUACAGCUUGAACAGAACUGUCCUGAGGAGACUGUAGCACCAAGUUAGGUGUGGAGAGAGAAGAUAGUUAUACACGAAGAAGAGGCGCCACCGGAAUCACCGACUACGCCACCUAGCGAAUCCCAGGACGACUGAAAACACAAGGAGUCCCGUUCGGAGGACUUAAAAACACCGAACGCCUUGCCAAGAGGUAAACCUGGUAGUUAUCCUUUUUCUUUCAAUUAUUCAAUUAUAGUUUGCUUAGUUAAUCAGGUUCAUGCUAUCUUGAAAAGAAAAUAAAAAUGUUAAAAAAAAUAGUAAGCCCCAUGUGAGUAUGCUCAUGGCAUAAAACCCAUAAGUAAAUUCACUGUGAUGGCAUAAAAAUAAAAUAAAUAAGUUUUCAUCUUACAAUAAAAAUAUAAAAAUAAUAAGUGCAUGAUCCUGCUAAAUAAGUAACAUUUAUUGAGGAGGCUCAACAUGAUAAAGGCUAGAUAUUUAUGCUAACACUUAACCAGUUCCACAAAGCUUUGUUGUCUAUUUGAGCUCCACAGAAUUCAAGGAUCAAAGAAGACUAGCAGACGGAGGACAUCCUAAUCGCUGUCAGGGUGCUGCCGACAUUCAAAUACACCUACAUCACCUCCUAGCUACAUAAGAAGAAAUUACGUCAAAAUCCAGCUUGGGGGAGAGCACCCCCAUUUAUCCAGCUAAGUGUUUGUACUCGCGUUUAUACUUUACUCAAAUAAUAAAAGAUGCAUAAUCAUGAAAAUCCAAAUAAAGAUUUUGUGCUUUUAUAUAUAUAUAUAUAUAUAUAUAUAUAUAUAUAUAUAUAUAUAUAUAUAUAUAUAUAUCUUUGCUUAGUUUGCUAAAUAAAUAAAUAAAUAAAAUUUGCUAUGAACCCUCAUGAUAAGCUCUCUCAUGGAAAUGAUGAAUAGUUGCUCUGCCAUGACUAGUUCUUAAAAUUGAAAUCUCUCUCAAGUUUAGGCAUGACUGUUAUGAAGUAAGAUUUGCUCUAAACCUGAACUUGUGGGAAGAGUACUUGAUCUAAAGUUUAAGUCAUUAACGGAUAUGAUAUGGGAAGGUUGAGCUACUGUUUAUCUGUUCCUAGAGAAGCUAGAAUUCUGGAGAAUUUUAUCUUUGAAAAAUCUUUAAAAUAUCACAUGAUGAGUUCCUGUAUGAUGAGAGUUUAAAUUCCUACCACAACCAUAUAUACAUGCUUGCUAGACUUUGAGCCACACAUCUACUAUUUACUGCUUAUGAGCAUUGAGUGUGGUCAAGCUGUGUAGACCCUUAGGAGCUUGUCAUGUGGUUAAAAUCAAGAUUCACUUGCACGUUCACUCAUACAUGCUACUUCCACUCCGGAAGUACCAUCCACAUAUAUCCACUCAUUUCCAUCUCCAAAACCACCCAAAAGUAUUCUACUCCUAUCCGGGAGAGAAUAGCCAAAAAUAGUUUCCUAUCCCUGUUAUUCCCUGUGAAAUAAAUGCUCCAGUUAUUUUGGUUACUACCACUUGCUACAUUCUUUCAGGAGAUGAGUGCUCUAAAAAAAAGAGAAGAAAAAAAAUAAUAUACGAGGAAAUAAAAAGGGGCAAGUGCCCGGAACCUCGAAGAAAAAAAAGUGAGACGAGAGGUAAAAAUGGACAAGUGUCCGACAGUAGAAUUAGGGGUACAAGAUACCCACCUGAGAGGAAAGAAAAAGAAAAUAUAGAGCAUCUCAUUCUCCCUAAAAAGCUUCAAAGUGCAAGAAAGGUAUGUAUCCCCUCAAAAGAGCAAAAGUAGAAUUAGACUUUCACCAUCAUUAUCACCAUCAUCACCAUACACCAUUCAUUCGCCACACAUGCAUAUCUUGAUUUGACUUAUUGACUUGUUUCUCUGGAUCCAUGGUUUGAAUAUGCAAUAAAUGUCUUGUAAGUAUGUAUUAGCUGUCUCCCACCUAUGAGUUCCAGAUAUCAGAACCUUAUUAGAGUAGGGUGAGAGAGAAGGCAAUAUCACUAUGCCUCAUACCAAAAAUACCACAUACUUUGAGAGAAGGCAUAUACCAUUACUGCCUUGGUAAGGAUCCAUAAAUACCACAAAAGAGAGAUUUGAGAGAGUCAUAUAAGGAAUCUCUGAGUUUUAUUUGAAAAUCUGCAAAAACCCCAGAGCUAUAGCUGAUCAAGAAUAAGAGACAUGACGCUUGACUUGACCGUUCUAUCUUUUAACUGCUCAAGACACAAGUGACGGUUACAAGACCCAUGGUGAAAGGUAAAAUGAGUAAGUUUUAAGCCUUAAUAGUUU
RNAcentral lists this long non-coding RNA (9020 nucleotides) under Sorghum bicolor (sorghum). RNAcentral describes it as "long non-coding RNA (SBIC_LNC006842)". The record is from RNAcentral. Lineage: Eukaryota; Viridiplantae; Streptophyta; Magnoliopsida; Poales; Poaceae.